This 2328-nucleotide long non-coding RNA is filed under the name Sparus aurata (gilthead seabream). RNAcentral describes it as "lncRNA (ENSSAUG00010008229.1)". Lineage: Eukaryota; Metazoa; Chordata; Actinopteri; Spariformes; Sparidae. The record is from RNAcentral.
AUGCGAGCGCUCAGUUCCUCGACGUGGGUCAUUAGUCAGUUUUUCUCUCCUCCAGGUUUCCUUGGCGGAGGAGAUCAAGCCGCUGAAGUGGUACCCCUCCGUUUACCUGCUGGUGUCUAUCUUUCCCCUCAUCAACAGCUGGCUCUGCAGUCGCGGCUGUGUGACAGGACUCGGAUCGGAGAGUACCACCCCGGGGCGGUGCGCUACACCCAGGCUGACCUGGUCGACCUCAGCGAUGACGACGACGAUGACACCAACGUACUCUUCUACUCCCCUGACAUGACCCUGAAAGACAGAGGGCCCUGAGAGAGCGCUGGAGAGAAGGAGAGACAGGGAAAGAGAGGGAGCGACAAACGAGCUGAAGGAAAGGAAAACAAAGGAGGGUCAGAGCCAGGGAGAAACGCAGCGGAUUAGAAACUGAGGAGUAACAGGAGGUAGGGAGGGAAUGGAAGGGAAGAUUGGGGGGACAGUCAGGCAGAUAGAAGCCGGAGAUGAGCUGUCAGGUUCCAUUAUUAAUCCCCAUCCUUUACUAUUUAAUAUCCUAAAGACACACACACACACACACACACACACACGCACACAGUGAGAAGAGCUGCAGCUCCCUGCAAUGCCGCCAUCAGAGAGGAGCAAGAAAAGAGCAGAUCUGAAGACCCUCCUAAUGUUAAAGGCAUCUGCUGCAUCCCGAAGGUCUUAAAAUUAUUUCCCUCUCUGCACUGUCUUGUUGUUUCCUGCGUUCUGCAGCGUUUUUUGGCAAACCGCAAAAAUGAAAGGAGCAAGAAAGAACAACAUAAAGCACGGUUGAAAGACAAUCAUAACAAGGUGUUAGUUUAGCAUUCGCAGCAAUUACCUUUUUCACUUCUCUGCAGGGGACGAGGUGAAGAGCAGGCUUUUUAAAACGCACCCGGUGUGUUAGAUGUGAAAGCUUUUACAUCCAUGCUGAGAUUGAUCUGGGUACUGAACGGUGAGUUUCUGAUGGGGGAUGUGGGAUAGGGCGGAAAUACAGGAGGGGGUUUUAGAAACAGCGAAGAUGACUAGGCAGGGCAAGUGGAGUUCCAGCUCAUGAGUGUCUCUUGCAGUGAAUCUCCUCCCUCAGACAGUAUUUGUUUUUCUCUUUGCAUAUGGUAUUACUGUUGUUGCGACUUUCGCAACGCAUUCCUUUGAGAAAACUGUUUUUGUAUUUUUUUUUUUAUAAAACACUAUGCGUGUAUGUUUUUGUAUUUAUAACAGAUCAAUGUACUGUAUAUUUUUAGGAGUACACUAUAUUUUUGUACGUGCCUUGAACUGGGAUAUGAAGAAAAUGCUCCUCUCUGUCCAAACCUGCUGGUCUCACAUGACGGUCGAGUGUAUAGAGCCUUAUGAAUAACUAAACGACAAUGUAUUAGUCAAACAUACUCCCGCACACUCACUCACACACACACACACACACACACACACACUCUUUUCUAAGGUUCCUGUCAAAACAGGUUGGAAAAGAUGGCACACACUCGACACCCACGGCAUAGCAACAGCCUUUGGUGGUUCAUCAUUUCAUGGCCAUUGCCGUUGGUGCUGAGGGGACAUAGCUGAGGUGUGAUUGGCAGGAUAAUAGAGUCACUUCAUAUUCAACCUCAGCCCCUUCGGUUUUUCCCAUAUCUGGGUGGUUUCAUCACUGUUGGUGCCGCGCUGCCAGCUGUCAGCCGCCUCUCUGACAAGUUGAACUAAUGAACCCACACUUGACCCUUUUUACCCUUGAGUUGUUGAACUUUUCUGCUGGGCGUCAGUGACACCAGAGUGCAACUUUUCAGUUCACAGAGCCCCACCACUGUAUUACACACACACACACACACACACACACACUUGCACUGUGCCCAUGCCCCUCUUUUGGCACUGUUGCUGGUUUUACUUGACUGUGCACUCCAUCAAAUAAAUGAGCAGGAGAGACAUUUCAUAACAAAGCUGAGACUGGGCGUGUUUAUUUCAUUUUCGCAUUGAUGCGAUCCCUUACGCAGCUGAAGUGUGUCCGUUUAUAUGUGUGUGUGCGUGUGCGCGUUAAGACGUCUCUUAGACCUGGGCUGCUUAAAUAAUGGAUAUUAAUUAUUGGUCGGACUCUGCUGGCCCCUGCCAUGUCUCCAAAUCUGGUUAACUGGAUUUUGAUUAAUGGAACAUGCGCGCCAUGUCCUCCAGAAAAAGGCAGACCUCCGCACACCUCCACGGCUCUCCCGCAGACAAGCCCCUCACCGCACCCCCUGCACACAAAGAGCCCUGGAAAUAAGCGAAUCUCCCUGUCACGCAAGACGAAUUAUUAUUCCCCCCUCAUAUCGUCGCAUGCGCCGUAAUUGGAUACAAUUU